Molecule: ribosomal RNA, 253 nt
Filed under: uncultured bacterium
Lineage: Bacteria
Description: partial 16S ribosomal RNA
Rfam family: Bacterial small subunit ribosomal RNA
Source: RNAcentral
UACGAAGGGUGCUAGCGUUGUUCGGAAUCACUGGGCGUAAAGCGCGCGUAGGCGGCUAUUCAAGUCAGGGGUGAAAGCCCGGGGCUCAACCCCGGAAUUGCCUUUGAAACUGUUUAGCUAGAGUGUCGGAGGGGAUAGCGGAAUUGCUAAUGUAGAGGUGAAAUUCGUAGAUAUUAGCAGGAACACCGGUGGCGAAGGCGGCUAUCUGGACGACAACUGACGCUGAGGCGCGAAAGCGUGGGGAUCAAACAGG